RNAcentral lists this ribosomal RNA (492 nucleotides) under uncultured bacterium. RNAcentral's name for it is "partial 16S ribosomal RNA". It matches the Rfam family "Bacterial small subunit ribosomal RNA", at positions 29 to 507 of the family's 1533-position model. The record is from RNAcentral.
AGUGAACGCUGGCGGUAGGCCUAACACAUGCAAGUCGAACGGCAGCACAGUGAGAGCUUGCUCUUACGGGUGGCGAGUGGCGGACGGGUGAGGAAUACAUCGGAAUCUACUUUUUCGUGGGGGAUAACGUAGGGAAACUUACGCUAAUACCGCAUACGACCUACGGGUGAAAGCAGGGGAUCUUCGGACCUUGCGCGAUUGAAUGAGCCGAUGUCGGAUUAGCUAGUUGGCGGGGUAAGGGCCCACCAAGGCGACGAUCCGUAGCUGGUCUGAGAGGAUGAUCAGCCACACUGGAACUGAGACACGGUCCAGACUCCUACGGGAGGCAGCAGUGGGGAAUAUUGGACAAUGGGCGCAAGCCUGAUCCAGCCAUACCGCGUGGGUGAAGAAGGCCUUCGGGUUGUAAAGCCCUUUUGUUGGGAAAGAAAAGCAGCAGGUUAAUACCCCGCUGUUCUGACGGUACCCAAAGAAUAAGCACCGGCUAACUUCGUG